CAAAAUGCCUGCAUGGUAUGUUCCUACUUGACCUUUAUGAUCUAGUUCCAGCAGAGAGUUCCUGUUCUCCCCACGCUCUCUCCUUUUCCAUCCUGGAAACCCUCAGGCACUCAGAAGAAAAACUGUGUGAAGAGACACAAUGAGACGGCAGCCACGUGAAAGCCAGAAGUGAGGUUUCACCAGGAGUCAUGAUCUGGGAUCUCCAUCCCUCAGAACUGUGGGAAAAUAUAUUUCUAUUGUUUAAGUGCCUGCUAUGUGUCUGAUGCCAAACCAGGUUCUGGGAAUAUAAUGGGCUGAAAGCAAUGAAGUCUCCAGUUUCACGUGCUUGUCCUGCAGUGUUGGCAUUCCCACAUCCAGAAAGGCGGGCCUGGCACCUUUGCAUGUGCCGCUGCACACUCUUCGGCUUGCUUCCUACUGGACCUUCGGAUGGGUGGGCCAUCCGGAAAGACCUUCAGAGAGAAGCUUUUCAAACUGUGGAAAGUUUUCAUAGGUCAGCAUGGGAAGUGGUACAUAUCCCUCCACUUAUGUUUUCAUGGUUAAAAUCCAGUA
This is a non-coding RNA of Odocoileus virginianus texanus, 549 nucleotides long. The record is from RefSeq and is a predicted model, not a curated record. Lineage: Eukaryota; Metazoa; Chordata; Mammalia; Artiodactyla; Cervidae.